Molecule: long non-coding RNA, 1701 nt
Organism: Salmo trutta (river trout)
Lineage: Eukaryota; Metazoa; Chordata; Actinopteri; Salmoniformes; Salmonidae
Source: Ensembl
ACACAGUAAGUCAACCAACCACAGCCCAGCACCACCCCUCCUCCAGGAAACACAGUAGGUCAACCACCCACAGCCCAGCACCACCCCUCCUCCAGGAAACACAGUAGGUCAACCACCCACAGCCCAGCACCACCCCUCCUCCAGGAAACACAGUAGGUCAACCACCCACAGCCCAGCACCACCCCUCCUCCAGGAAACACAGUAGGUCAACCACCCACAGCCCAGCACCACCCCUCCUCCAGGAAACACAGUAGGUCAACCACCCACAGCCCAGCACCACCCCUCCUCCAGGAAACACAGUAGGUCAACCACCCACAGCCCAGCACCACCCCCUCCUCCAGGAAACACAGUAGGUCAACCACCCACAGCCCAGCACCACCCCUCCUCCAGGAAACACAGUAGGUCAACCACCCACAGCCCAGCACCACCCCUCCUCCAGGAAACACAGUAGGUUAACCACCCACAGCCCAGCACCACCCCCUCCUCCAGGAAACACAGUAGGUCAACCACCCACAGCCCAGCACCACCCCUCCUCCAGGAAACACAGUAGGUCAACCACCCACAGUCCAGCACCACCCCCUCCUCCAGGAAACACAGUAGGUCAACCACCCACAGCCCAGCACCACCCCUCCUCCAGGAAACACAGUCCGACACGGGCCCCCCCUCCUGAUGACUUGGUGCGGUCCAGGGCCCCCCCUCCCAGGGCCCCCCCUCCUGAUGACAUGGUGCGGUCCAGGGCCCCCCCUCCAGAAGGAGUGGUCCAGUCCAGCGUGUCUGACUCAGAAAGCCCCUCCCACAACAUCAAGGAUAUGAUCAAACAGUACCAACACCCACCUAACCCUGCACCCAGCCAGCCUGCACACACACACAGGUAACACCACACACACACACACACACACACACACACACACACACACACACACACACACACACACACACACACACACACACACAACACACACACACACACACACAACACACACACACACACACACACACACACACACACACAGUAACACACACACACACACACACACACACACAGGUAACACACACACACACACAACACACACACACACACACACACACACACACACAGGUAACACACACACACACACACAGGUAACACACACACACACACACACACAGGUAACACACACACACACACAGGUAACACACACACACACACACACACACACACAGGUAACACACACACACAGGUAACACACACACACACACACACACACACACACACACACACACACACAGGUAACACACACGCACACACACACACACACACACACACACACACACACACACACACACACACACACACACACACACACACACAGGUAACACACACACACACACACACACAGGUAACACACACACACUCACAGGUACCACAGUAAAUGUUAAAAACCUGAUGUGGAUAGGGGGCAGUAUUUUCACGGCCGGAUAAAAAAAUAUACCCUAUUUAAACUGGUUACUACUCUUGCCCAGAAACGAGAAUAUGCAUAUAAUUAGUAGGUUUGGAUAGAAAACACUCUGAAGUAUCUAAAACUGUUUGAAUGGUGUCUGUGAGUAUAACAGAACUCAUAUGGCAGGCAAAAAACCUGAGAAAUAUCCAACCAGGAAGUUUGACCUCACAUGGUUGUAGUCAUUUCAAAUGAUGUUCUGUCUAAACUACAGUGUCUGUGA